CACGUAAGCAAUCUACCUUUAGGUUUGGAAUAACUUCGAGAAAUCGGGGCUAAUACCAGAUGAUGCAGCGAUACCACAUGGUAAUGCUGUUAAAGUCUAUAUGGCGCCUAGAGACGAGCUUGCGUCUGAUUAGCUUGUUGGUAAGGUAAUGGCUUACCAAGGCAACGAUCAGUAGCUGGUCUGAGAGGAUGAUCAGCCACACUGGAACUGAGACACGGUCCAGACUCCUACGGGAGGCAGCAGUGGGGAAUAUUGGACAAUGGGGGAAACCCUGAUCCAGCAAUGCCGCGUGUGUGAAGAAGGCCUGCGGGUUGUAAAGCACUUUC
This 326-nucleotide ribosomal RNA is filed under the name uncultured Thiohalomonas sp. Its description in RNAcentral is "bacterial SSU rRNA". It matches the Rfam family "Bacterial small subunit ribosomal RNA", at positions 114 to 437 of the family's 1533-position model. The record is from RNAcentral. Lineage: Bacteria; Pseudomonadati; Pseudomonadota; Gammaproteobacteria; Thiohalomonadales; Thiohalomonadaceae.